RNAcentral lists this ribosomal RNA (460 nucleotides) under uncultured bacterium. RNAcentral describes it as "partial 16S ribosomal RNA". It matches the Rfam family "Bacterial small subunit ribosomal RNA", at positions 338 to 795 of the family's 1533-position model. The record is from RNAcentral.
CCUACGGGGGACAGCAGUGAGGAAUAUUGGUCAAUGGGCGGAAGCCUGAACCAGCCAAGUAGCGUGAAGGAUGACGGUCCUAUGGGUUGUAAACCGCUUUUGCCGGGGAGUAACAAGCGGUACGUGUACCGCAUCGCGAGUACCCGGAGAAAAAGGAUCGGCUAACUCCGUGCCAGCAGCCGCGGUAAUACGGAGGAUGCGGGCGUUAUCCGGAUUUAUUGGGUUUAAAGGGUGCGCAGGCGGCGGGUUAAGUGUGCGGUGAAAUUUCCGGGCUCAACCCCGGCCAGGCAGUGGAAACUGGCUUGCUAGAGUGCGCGAGAAGCAUGCGGAAUUCGUGGUGUAGCGGUGAAAUGCUUAGAUAUGACGAAGAACCCCGAUUGCGAAGGCAGCUUGCCGGAGCCCAACUGACGCUGAGGCACGAAAGCGUGGGUAUCGAACAGGAUUAGAUACCCUUGUAGUC